UCUACGACACAGAGCCGGGCAGGUACCUGUA
Molecule: non-coding RNA, 31 nt
Filed under: Homo sapiens (human)
Lineage: Eukaryota; Metazoa; Chordata; Mammalia; Primates; Hominidae
Source: RNAcentral